UUUUCCACAAUAACUUUUUAUUGGUAACAAUCAGAGAAAUUGAGUAGUUCCACCCCAGAUUCUCUCCGUACUGUGUUUUCCCCGACUUUAAUCACGGCGCUAGUUUGACUAAGAAGGCGUUUGCGAAGAGGAUGCUGUUGUCUGAGUUUCCGGCUCAACGCUUUCAAAAUCUACAGAAGAGACAAGAAAGUAACAGGCCCGUCGGCAUUUGCGUCGAUUUUCGCCGAUUUGCAUUCCUACUAUUUUUAAUGGACAAUUUAGGGAUGCCAAGUUGAUUGUUCAAAACUGGAUUUGCACUAGCUGGCUGGAAAAGGGUAAAUAACUAUUUCAACCUCUGUUGAAUUGAACUGUCCAAGACUGACUAGAGGACGACCAUUUGGAAUUGUAGAAACAUUACGAGGAAUUAUUGCGAUGGGGUCCCAUACAUUCUCUGUAAUACUAUUUUCUAAUUUGAGACUUAUGUUAUAUUGCUAUACUAUUUUAUCAUGUUUCAUUCCAUCUGACGAUUACUAAAAAGUGAUCUAUUUUGUUUAGAAAUAUAGUUUGUAAUUUUCUUAAGUUUUAAUUAUUGUUACAUGUUUUUAAGCCUGU
Molecule: long non-coding RNA, 591 nt
Organism: Brassica rapa (field mustard)
Lineage: Eukaryota; Viridiplantae; Streptophyta; Magnoliopsida; Brassicales; Brassicaceae
Source: RefSeq, a predicted model, not a curated record